GAUGAACGCUGGCGGCGUGCCUAAUACAUGCAAGUCGAGCGAACAGACGAGGAGCUUGCUCCUCUGACGUUAGCGGCGGACGGGUGAGUAACACGUGGAUAACCUACCUAUAAGACUGGGAUAACUUCGGGAAACCGGAGCUAAUACCGGAUAAUAUAUUGAACCGCAUGGUUCAAUAGUGAAAGACGGUUUUGCUGUCACUUAUAGAUGGAUCCGCGCCGCAUUAGCUAGUUGGUAAGGUAACGGUUUACCAAGGCAACGAUGCGUAGCCGACCUGAGAGGGUGAUCGGCCACACUGGAACUGAGACACGGUCCAGACUCCUACGGGAGGCAGCAGUAGGGAAUCUUCCGCAAAGGGCGAAAGCUUGACGGAGCAACGCCGCGUGAGUGAUGAAGGUCUUCGGAUCGUAAAACUCUGUUAUUAGGGAAGAACAAAUGUGUAAGUAACUAUGCACGUCUUGACGGUACCUAAUCAGAAAGCCACGGCUAACUACGUG
This 497-nucleotide ribosomal RNA is filed under the name uncultured bacterium. RNAcentral describes it as "partial 16S ribosomal RNA". It matches the Rfam family "Bacterial small subunit ribosomal RNA", at positions 28 to 507 of the family's 1533-position model. The record is from RNAcentral.